Molecule: transfer RNA, 66 nt
Filed under: Papio cynocephalus (Yellow baboon)
Lineage: Eukaryota; Metazoa; Chordata; Mammalia; Primates; Cercopithecidae
Description: tRNA-Lys
Source: RNAcentral
CGCUGCACAGCUAUUCCAGCAUUAACCUUUUAAGUUAAAGAUUGAGGGCAUGCCCUCUGCAGUGAA